AAGUUCCAGUCAGUACCUGGCAGGUCUCUACAGGUAAAGUUCCAGUCAGUACCUGGCAGGUCUCUACAGGUAAAGUUCCAGUCAGUACCUGGUAAGUCUCUACAGGUAAAGUUCCAGUCAGUACCUGGUAAGUCUCUACAGGUAAAGUUCCAGUCAGUACCUGGUAGGUCUCUACAGGUAAAGUUCCAGUCAGUACCUGGUAAGUCUCUACAGGUAAAGUUCCAGUCAGUACCUGGUAAGUCUCUACAGGUAAAGUUCCAGUCAGUACCUGGUAAGUCUCUACAGGUAAAGUUCCAGUCAGUACCUGGUAGGUCUCUACAGGUAAAGUUCCAGUCAGUACCUGGUAAGUCUCUACAGGUAAAGUUCCAGUCAGUACCUGGUAAGUCUCUACAGGUAAAGUUCCAGUCAGUACCUGGUAGGUCUCUACAGGUAAAGUUCCAGUCAGUACCUGGUAGGUCUCUACAGGUAAAGUUCCAGUCAGUACCUGGUAGGUCUCUACAGGUAAAGUUCCAGUCAGUACCUGGUAGGUCUCUACAGGUAAAGUUCCAGUCAGUACCUGGUAGGUCUCUACAGGUAAAGUUCCAUUCAGUACCUGGUAGGUCUCUACAGGUAAAGUUCCAUUCAGUACCUGGUAGGUCUCUACAGGUAAAGUUCUAGUCAGUACCUGGUAAGUCUCUACAGGUAAAGUUCCAGUCAGUACCUGGUAAGUCUCUACAGGUAAAGUUCCAGUCAGUACCUGGUAGGUCUCUACAGGUAAAGUUCCAGUCAGUACCUGGUAAGUCUCUACAGGUAAAGUUCCAGUCAGUACCUGGUAAGUCUCUACAGGUAAAGUUCCAGUCAGUACCUGGUAGGUCUCUACAGGUAAAGUUCCAGUCAGUACCUGGUAGGUCUCUACAGGUAAAGUUCCAGUCAGUACCUGGUAGGUCUCUACAGGUAAAGUUCCAGUCAGUACCUGGUAGGUCUCUACAGGUAAAGUUCCAGUCAGUACCUGGUAGGUCUCUACAGGUAAAGUUCCAGUCAGUACCUGGUAGGUCUCUACAGGUAAAGUUCAAGUCAGUACCUGGUAGGUCUCUACAGGUAAAGUUCAAGUCAGUACCUGGUAGGUCUCUACAGGUAAAGUUCCAGUCACUCCCUGGUAAGUCUCUACAGGUAAAGUUCCAGUCAGAACCUGGUAGGUCUCUACGGGUAAAGUUCCAGUCAGAACCUGGUAAGUCUCUACAGGUAAAGUUAAAGUCACUACCUGGUAAGUCUCUACAGGUAAAGUUCUAGUCAGUACCUGGUAAGUCUCUACAGGUAAUGUUAAAGUCAGUAGGUCUCUACAGGUAGGUCUCUACAGGUAAUGUUAAAGUCAGUACCUGGUAGGUCUCUACAGGUAGGUCUCUACAGGUACAGUUAAAGUCAGUACCUGGUAGGUCUCUACAGGUAGGUCUCUACA
Oncorhynchus keta (chum salmon) is the source of this 1435-nucleotide long non-coding RNA. RefSeq lists it as uncharacterized. Lineage: Eukaryota; Metazoa; Chordata; Actinopteri; Salmoniformes; Salmonidae. The transcript has 5 exons. The record is from RefSeq and is a predicted model, not a curated record.